This 442-nucleotide ribosomal RNA is filed under the name Afrixalus fornasini (leaf-folding frog). RNAcentral's name for it is "partial 16S ribosomal RNA". It matches the Rfam family "Bacterial large subunit ribosomal RNA", at positions 2002 to 2609 of the family's 2925-position model. Lineage: Eukaryota; Metazoa; Chordata; Amphibia; Anura; Hyperoliidae. The record is from RNAcentral.
CCACGAGGGCUCAACGUCUCCUUCCUCCAAUCAAUGAAAUUGAUCUUCUCGUGAAGAAGCGAGAAUAUUAUUAUUAGACGAGAAGACCCCAUGGAGCUUUAAACUUAUUACCAAUUACUUAACCGCUAAACCAUAAUAUGUAGUAAAAAUGUUCUUAAUAGUUUUCGGCUGGGGUGGCCCUGGAGUAAAAUAAACCCUCCAGAAUGAACGGAAUAAGACCCUAAUCUAAGAAUUACAGCUCAAAGAAUCAAAAAACUGACAUUAUUGAUCCAAUUAAUUGAUUAACGAAACAAGUUACCCUGGGGAUAACAGCGCAAUCCAUUUUGAGAGCCCCUAUCAACAAAUGGGUUUACGACCUCGAUGUUGGAUCGGGGUAUCCCGGUGGCGCAGCCGCUACUAAUGGUUCGUUUGUUCAACGAUUAACAACCCCACGUGAUCUGAU